This is a long non-coding RNA of Penaeus vannamei (Pacific white shrimp), 666 nucleotides long. RefSeq lists it as uncharacterized. NCBI's taxonomy places the organism in Eukaryota, Metazoa, Arthropoda, Malacostraca, Decapoda, Penaeidae. The record is from RefSeq and is a predicted model, not a curated record.
UCUUCCUUCUUCUGCAAACGCUACAGUACCUCUUGCUGCCGAACAUGGUCCCCCUUCAUGGUCCUCGAUAACCAACACAGCGAUUCCCUGGGUGGCGGUGGCGCCGCCAACGGCCGUUAGUGUAACUAACAGGUUCAAAUAACGCUGCUUUACUGAUGGAGGAUGGGGCUUAGGACGAUGUUCCACUCCUAGUGAAGAGUCGGGUGGACUUCCUGCACAUGCUAAUUAGAUUCCUACACUGUACCAAAGUCAAAAUUUGUCAUCAGUGCGAACUACGAGAAUUUAAACUAAAGGGGCCCAAGCAAGUCUGCUAAACGAACACGUGACCCAAUAUCCCACAGUCAAGGAGAGACUCGUUCCCGCUGACACUUCCGUUUUAGCUUGUAAACAGCAGUGCAAUUUGCAAAUACACGUAGCGACUGAACUUUUGACUCCGAUAACUACAUGAUUAAGACACUAUUCAUUCUCUGUUUUGGUAUGAUCAUUCGCCACAACAAAAUCUUUAAAAUGGGAUCCAGUGUCAGUCACUCAACAGAGGAAACCGAGCUACCAUCGCUGGUUCGGUUCAUAAUCCGCCGGACCUGAAGCGGAGUCAUCAUUCACCACUCGCCUCUCGACCUGCCAACACGUGUACUUGGUCGUUCAAUAAUAAAGAGAUAAAAUCCA